GAGGGUGAAAAGAGCCUGAACCGUCAUGGGGGAAGCGAGUGGUGUUGCAUUGAAGGGCCGUUGUGUGUUCAUCCCGAAAGGGUGUAUUGGCAUGGCGGCUUACCUGUCGUGGGUUCUGGGCCGUGGAUUUUGCACGGCUCGGGGCUGAGGGCUCCCAAUUUGGUGAGGACGACCGGGCGUUGACACGAUUCGACCCGUCUUGAAACACGGACCAAGGAGUCUAGCGCGGCUGCGAGUCGAAGGGUGCAAGCCUGAAGGCAAAGUGAACGCGAGUGUAAAACGAGCAGUUUGGGGCGGCAUGGGAUCGUUGAUUCCAAGUCUGACCUUGAGCAGUUGCGCUGGGACCCGAAAGAUGGUGAACUAUGCCGGAGUAGGGCAAAGCCAGAGGAAACUCUGGUGGAGGCUCGUAGCGGUGCUGACGUGCAAAUCGCUCGUCGAACUUGGGUAUAGGGGCGAAAGACUAAUCGAACCAUCUAGUAGCUGGUUCCCUCCGAAGUUUCU
Molecule: ribosomal RNA, 501 nt
Filed under: Metacallophyllis laciniata
Lineage: Eukaryota; Rhodophyta; Florideophyceae; Gigartinales; Kallymeniaceae
Description: partial 28S ribosomal RNA
Rfam family: Eukaryotic large subunit ribosomal RNA
Source: RNAcentral